GGGGUUGUGGCCUAGUGGUAGAGCACUUGUAUUUCAUGCAUGAGGCCCUGGGUUCAAUCCUCAGCACCA
RNAcentral lists this transfer RNA (69 nucleotides) under Ictidomys tridecemlineatus (thirteen-lined ground squirrel). RNAcentral's name for it is "Spermophilus tridecemlineatus (thirteen-lined ground squirrel) tRNA". It matches the Rfam family "tRNA". From Rfam's summary of the family: Transfer RNA (tRNA) molecules are approximately 80 nucleotides in length. Their secondary structure includes four short double-helical elements and three loops (D, anti-codon, and T loops). The record is from Rfam by way of RNAcentral. Lineage: Eukaryota; Metazoa; Chordata; Mammalia; Rodentia; Sciuridae.